This 295-nucleotide long non-coding RNA is filed under the name Elaeis guineensis (African oil palm). RNAcentral's name for it is "long non-coding RNA (EGUI_LNC071738)". The record is from RNAcentral. Lineage: Eukaryota; Viridiplantae; Streptophyta; Magnoliopsida; Arecales; Arecaceae.
ACUUAUCUGACCAAUUUGAUGGAUUAUAUUUUGAUUAGACUGCUAAGUGAUUCGAGUUGACCCAUGCCAUUAAGGUUGAUUAGUAUGACUGAUUUAGGUGCCAUUUCAACCAGCAUGAUCCUAAUCCAAUUCAAUGACUUGGUGAAGUCGGUGAGAGGAUGGUGAUUUACAGGUUGAUUUCUUCUCUUCUCUUAAUUCAUAAAUUAAAUCUUCUAAAUUAUUAGGUUCCAAAAAUAAAAUAGUGAUAGUGAUAACUAAAUCAUAGCCUCCCAUUAAGUUGGGUGAUAAUGGAUUC